AUUGAACGCUGGCGGCAGGCUUAACACAUGCAAGUCGAGCGGGGGAAGGUAGCUUGCUACCGGACCUAGCGGCGGACGGGUGAGUAAUGCUUAGGAAUCUGCCUAUUAGUGGGGGACAACAUCUCGAAAGGGAUGCUAAUACCGCAUACGUCCUACGGGAGAAAGCAGGGGAUCUUCGGACCUUGCGCUAAUAGAUGAGCCUAAGUCGGAUUAGCUAGUUGGUGGGGUAAAGGCCUACCAAGGCGACGAUCUGUAGCGGGUCUGAGAGGAUGAUCCGCCACACUGGGACUGAGACACGGCCCAGACUCCUACGGGAGGCAGCAGUGGGGAAUAUUGGACAAUGGGGGGGACCCUGAUCCAGCCAUGCCGCGUGUGUGAAGAAGGCCUUAUGGCUGUAAAGCACUUUAAGCGAGGAGGAGGCUACUUUAGUUAAUACCUAGAGAUAGUGGACGUUACUCGCAGAAUAAGCACCGGCUAACUCUGUGCCAGCAGCCGCCGUAA
RNAcentral lists this ribosomal RNA (501 nucleotides) under uncultured bacterium. Its description in RNAcentral is "partial 16S ribosomal RNA". It matches the Rfam family "Bacterial small subunit ribosomal RNA", at positions 30 to 523 of the family's 1533-position model. The record is from RNAcentral.